GAGCGAACGGUGCGUUCACACACACACACACACACACACAGGCAGUUAGGCAGCCACGCAUCCUCUCGCUCUGCUGUUUGUGCAUGUUGUGCGUGCUGGAAUGACGGACCGGCUAGUACGAGUAGUAUAGUUUACAUCAGACUCUACUGCGAGUGUGGGACUCGGCACUGCAGCGAUCGACAGUUGGACCCGUUAGCAUCGAUUUUGUUACGAUAUUAUCCACGAACGGACCUACACUGGACGUCGCUUCGUCUUGUUCGUGCCAGACAUCAGUCGACGUGUGACUUUGUGUGUAAACUUGUUGAAGUGAUCAGAGAGAAAGAGAGAGAGAGAGAGAGACGCGUGCACAUUGGAUUGGAUUUUCGCGGAGUGCCCGUCUUCGCUUGCCUUGAUCGGACAUCGGUUGUAGUGUUAUAGUACAUGAGUGAAGAGAAGCGAUCUGCUACUACUGCGGCGAUGGCGUACAUGUGGACGUUGCUGUCUGUGAUCGUCUGUAUAGCAUCAUCUUCCACCGCCAACCACGUCGUGCUAAUGGACACCACGGACAGCUCGAGUCUGGGAUGGACGAGGUUUAAUCCCCACGCCACCUCAGAGGACACGACACAGGGGGUGAGUAGACUGUACAUCAAUACAUCUUCUUCCCAUAACAAACCACCGAUCCACCCCCUCGCGUGCAUG
This is a long non-coding RNA of Priapulus caudatus, 678 nucleotides long. RefSeq lists it as uncharacterized. The record is from RefSeq and is a predicted model, not a curated record. NCBI's taxonomy places the organism in Eukaryota, Metazoa, Priapulida, Priapulimorpha, Priapulimorphida, Priapulidae. The transcript has 3 exons.